GACGAACGCUGGCGGCGUGCUUAACACAUGCAAGUCGAACGGAAAGGCCCUGCUUUUGUGGGGUGCUCGAGUGGCGAACGGGUGAGUAACACGUGAGUAACCUGCCCCUGACUUUGGGAUAACUUCAGGAAACUGGGGCUAAUACCGGAUAGGAGCUCCUGCUGCAUGGUGGGGGUUGGAAAGUUUCGGCGGUUGGGGAUGGACUCGCGGCUUAUCAGCUUGUUGGUGGGGUAGUGGCUUACCAAGGCUUUGACGGGUAGCCGGCCUGAGAGGGUGACCGGCCACAUUGGGACUGAGAUACGGCCCAGACUCCUACGGGAGGCAGCAGUGGGGAAUAUUGCACAAUGGGCGGAAGCCUGAUGCAGCAACGCUGCGUGCGGGAUGACGGCCUUCGGGUUGUAAACCGCUUUCGCCUGUGACGAAGCGUGAGUGACGGUAAUGGGUAAAGAAGCACCGGCUAACUACGUG
Molecule: ribosomal RNA, 468 nt
Filed under: uncultured bacterium
Lineage: Bacteria
Description: partial 16S ribosomal RNA
Rfam family: Bacterial small subunit ribosomal RNA
Source: RNAcentral